AGAGCGAACGCUGGCGGCAGGCCUAAUACAUGCAAGUCGAACGGAUCCUUCGGGAUUAGUGGCGGACGGGUGAGUAACACGUGGGAACGUGCCCUUUGGUUCAGGACAACUCAGGGAAACUUGAGCUAAAUACUGGAUAAGCCCUUCGGGGGAAAGAUUUAUCGCCAUUGGAGCGGCCCGCGUCUGAUUAGCUAGUUGGUAGGGUAAAGGCCUACCAAGGCUACGAUCAGUAGCUGGUCUGAGAGGAUGAUCAGCCACACUGGGACUGAGACACGGCCCAGACUCCUACGGGAGGCAGCAGUAGGGAAUCUUGCGCAAUGGGCGAAAGCCUGACGCAGCCAUGCCGCGUGAAUGAUGAAGGUCUUAGGAUUGUAAAAUUCUUUCAGCGGGACGAUAAUGACGGUACCCGCAGAAGAAGCCCCGGCUAACUACGUGCCAGCAGCCGC
Molecule: ribosomal RNA, 446 nt
Filed under: uncultured bacterium
Lineage: Bacteria
Description: SSU rRNA
Rfam family: Bacterial small subunit ribosomal RNA
Source: RNAcentral